Molecule: ribosomal RNA, 455 nt
Filed under: uncultured bacterium
Lineage: Bacteria
Description: bacterial SSU rRNA
Rfam family: Bacterial small subunit ribosomal RNA
Source: RNAcentral
GCACAAGCGGUGGAGCAUGUGGUUUAAUUCGACGCAACGCGAAGAACCUUACCUGGGCUCGAAAUGUUAUGGACCGGAGUGGAAACAUUCCUUCCCCGCAAGGGGCCGUAAUAUAGGUGCUGCAUGGCUGUCGUCAGCUCGUGUCGUGAGAUGUUGGGUUAAGUCCCGCAACGAGCGCAACCCUUAUCUUCAGUUGCUACCAUUUAGUUGAGCACUCUGAMGAAACCGCCUCGGAUAACGGGGAGGAAGGUGGGGAUGACGUCAAGUCCUCAUGGCCUUUAUGUCCAGGGCUACACACGUGCUACAAUGGCGGUGACAGUGGGCAGCUACUUCGCGAGAAGCGGCUAAUCCCAAAAAACCGCCCCAGUUCAGAUUGUACUCUGCAACUCGAGUACAUGAAGGUGGAAUCGCUAGUAAUCGCAGAACAGCAGGCUGCGGUGAAUACGUUCCCGGGC